Molecule: ribosomal RNA, 483 nt
Filed under: uncultured bacterium
Lineage: Bacteria
Description: partial 16S ribosomal RNA
Rfam family: Bacterial small subunit ribosomal RNA
Source: RNAcentral
UUGAACGCUGGCGGCAGGCCUAACACAUGCAAGUCGAGCGGAUGAAGGGAGCUUGCUCCUGGAUUCAGCGGCGGACGGGUGAGUAAUGCCUAGGAAUCUGCCUGGUAGUGGGGGAUAACGUCCGGAAACGGGCGUUAAUACCGCAUACGUCCUGAGGGAGAAAGUGGGGGAUCUUCGGACCUCACGCUAUCAGAUGAGCCUAGGUCGGAUUAGCUAGUUGGUGGGGUAAAGGCCUACCAAGGCGACGAUCCGUAACUGGUCUGAGAGGAUGAUCAGUCACACUGGAACUGAGACACGGUCCUGACUCCUACGGGAGGCAGCAGUGGGGAAUAUUGGACAAUGGGCGAAAGCCUGAUCCAGCCAUGCCGCGUGUGUGAAGAAGGUCUUCGGAUUGUAAAGCACUUUAAGUUGGGAGGAAGGGCAGUAAGUUAAUACCUUGCUGUUUUGACGUUACCAACAGAAUAAGCACCGGCUAACUUCGUG